GUGCCUUAAACUAAUGAGUAAGGAAAAUAACGAGCCGGAUUGACGCCCGGCUCAACCGUACUCGCAAUACGGUCGGAAUUUUUGUGGGGGCACAGGUCGUCCCAGGGGCGUCCCGCCUACUUUUGCGGGGUGCUCGGGUUGUAGCGAUCUGCCCC
Molecule: small nuclear RNA, 155 nt
Filed under: Dermacentor andersoni
Lineage: Eukaryota; Metazoa; Arthropoda; Arachnida; Ixodida; Ixodidae
Description: U12 minor spliceosomal RNA
Rfam family: U12 minor spliceosomal RNA
About the family: Although the U12 sequence is very divergent from that of U2, the two are functionally analogous.
Source: RNAcentral